GGCCCUUGUAUUCGCACAAGUAAAUAGGCAAAUGUACGCUUUUCCUCCAACUCCAUUUUUAGUUUUGAUGCUCAAUGCACCAGUAAAGUCAACGCCUGUUACAGUAAACGGCGGCGAAUCUCUUAGUCUGUCUGCUGGUAGAGGCGGCGGGUCCGGAGUAGCAUACGGUCUUCCUGUAACCUUUCGGCAAGUAACACAUUUGUGAAUAAUUGUUUUCACAUAUUGUCGGAUUGCUGGAAUCCAGUAAAACUGUCGUAAAGAAGUGACAGUACUUUCUAAUCCAGAGUGAAGUAGUCUAUUGUGGGCAUCCAUUAUAAUUAGAGUUGAUAAUGUAUCCUUAUUUGGCAAUAAUAUCG
Molecule: long non-coding RNA, 356 nt
Filed under: Mytilus galloprovincialis (Mediterranean mussel)
Lineage: Eukaryota; Metazoa; Mollusca; Bivalvia; Mytilida; Mytilidae
Source: RNAcentral